ACUCCUACGGGAGGCAGCAGUAGGGAAUAUUAGAAAUGGACGAAAGUCUGAUCUAGCAACACCGCGUGUGCGAAGAAGGCCUUCGGGUCGUAAAGCACUUUUUGGAAGGAAUAGGAAGGAAUGUACUUCCAGAAUAAGUCUCGGCUAACUACGUGCCAGCAGCCGCGGUAACACGUAGGAGGCAAACGUUAUCCGGAUUUACUGGGCGUAAAGCGCGUGUAGGUGGUACUGUAAGUAGGGCGUGAAAGCUCCUGGCUCAACUGGGAGAGGCCGUUCUAAACUACAGAACUAGAGGAUGGUAGAGGGAGGUGGAAUUCCAGGUGUAGCGGUGGAAUGCGCAGAUAUCUGGAGGAACACCGGUGGCGAAGGCGGCCUCCUGGACCAUUCCUGACACUCAGACGCGAAAGCUAGGGUAGCAAACGGGAUUAGAGACCCCGGUAGUCCUAGCCCUAAGCGAUGUAGACUUGGCGUCGGUGGCUUAAUCGUCAUCGGUGUCGUAGCUAACGCGAUAAGUCUACCGCCUGGGGACUACGGCCGCAAGGUUAAAACUCAAAGGAAUUGACGG
This 565-nucleotide ribosomal RNA is filed under the name uncultured bacterium. RNAcentral's name for it is "bacterial SSU rRNA". It matches the Rfam family "Bacterial small subunit ribosomal RNA", at positions 335 to 916 of the family's 1533-position model. The record is from RNAcentral.